RNAcentral lists this ribosomal RNA (477 nucleotides) under uncultured bacterium. Its description in RNAcentral is "partial 16S ribosomal RNA". It matches the Rfam family "Bacterial small subunit ribosomal RNA", at positions 30 to 507 of the family's 1533-position model. The record is from RNAcentral.
AUGAACGCUGGCGGCGUGCCUAACCCCUGCAAGUCGAACGGAGUCCAGCCUUUAAGACCUUCGGGUCAAAGAGGGGAAGACUGAGUGGCGGACGGGUGAGUAACACGUGGGCAACCUGGCUCAUAGAGGGGGAUAACAGAGAGAAAUUUCUGCUAAUACCGCAUAAGCACACACUGCCGCAUGGCAGAGGGUGAAAAGAGAAUCGCUAUGAGAUGGACCCGCGUCUGAUUAGCCAGUUGGCAGGGUAAGAGCCUACCAAAGCGACGAUCAGUAGCCGAUCUGAGAGGAUGAACGGCCACAUUGGGACUGAGACACGGCCCAAACUCCUACGGGAGGCAGCAGUGGGGGAUAUUGCACAAUGGGGGGAACCCUGAUGCAGCGACGCCGCGUGAGUGAAGAAGUAUUUCGGUAUGUAAAGCUCUAUCAGCAGGGAAGAUAAUGACAGUACCUGAAUAAGAAGCCCCGGCUAACUACGUG